UACGUAGGGUGCGAGCGUUGUCCGGAAUUAUUGGGCGUAAAGGGCUCGUAGGCGGUUUGUUGCGUCGGGAGUGAAAACUCAGGGCUUAACCCUGAGCCUGCUUCCGAUACGGGCAGACUAGAGGUAUGCAGGGGAGAGCGGAAUUCCUGGUGUAGCGGUGAAAUGCGCAGAUAUCAGGGGGAACACCGGUGGCGAAGGCGGUUCUCUGGGCAUUACCUGACGCUGAGGAGCGAAAGUGUGGGGAGCGAACAGG
This 253-nucleotide ribosomal RNA is filed under the name uncultured bacterium. RNAcentral describes it as "partial 16S ribosomal RNA". It matches the Rfam family "Bacterial small subunit ribosomal RNA", at positions 524 to 776 of the family's 1533-position model. The record is from RNAcentral.